This 332-nucleotide unclassified non-coding RNA is filed under the name soil metagenome. Its description in RNAcentral is "partial contains 5.8S ribosomal RNA, internal transcribed spacer 2, and large subunit ribosomal RNA". The stretch from base 1 to 120 matches the Rfam family "5.8S ribosomal RNA", at positions 35 to 154 of the family's 154-position model. The record is from RNAcentral.
GAUGAAGAACGUAGCGAAAUGCGAUAAGUAGUGUGAAUUGCAGAAUUCAGUGAAUCAUCGAAUCUUUGAACGCACAUUGCGCCCCUUGGUAUUCCGGGGGGCAUGCCUGUUCGAGCGUCAUUAUCACCCCUCAAGCUCAGCUUGGUGUUGGGGCCUGCCCGUCACAGGGCAGCCCUUAAAAGCAGUGGCGGUGCCAUCUGGCUCUACGCGUAGUAAUACUUCUCGCGACAGAGUCCCGGUGGUGUCCUGCCAGAACCCCCCAUAUUUUUAAUGAUUGACCUCGGAUCAGGUAGGGAUACCCGCUGAACUUAAGCAUAUCAAUAAGCGGAGGA